RNAcentral lists this ribosomal RNA (494 nucleotides) under uncultured bacterium. RNAcentral describes it as "bacterial SSU rRNA". It matches the Rfam family "Bacterial small subunit ribosomal RNA", at positions 28 to 512 of the family's 1533-position model. The record is from RNAcentral.
GAUGAACGCUAGCUACAGGCUUAACACAUGCAAGUCGAGGGGCAGCGGGAUUGAAGCUUGCUUCAAUUGCCGGCGACCGGCGCACGGGUGAGUAACGCGUAUCCAACCUUCCGUACACUCAGGGAUAGCCUUUCGAAAGAAAGAUUAAUACCUGAUGGUAUGAUGAGAUCGCAUGGUAUCAUCAUUAAAGAUUUAUCGGUGUACGAUGGGGAUGCGUUCCAUUAGGUAGUAGGCGGGGUAACGGCCCACCUAGCCUACGAUGGAUAGGGGUUCUGAGAGGAAGGUCCCCCACAUUGGAACUGAGACACGGUCCAAACUCCUACGGGAGGCAGCAGUGAGGAAUAUUGGUCAAUGGACGAGAGUCUGAACCAGCCAAGUAGCGUGCAGGAUGACGGCCCUAUGGGUUGUAAACUGCUUUUGACGAGGGUAAACGCAGAUACGUGUAUCUGUCUGAAAGUAUCGUACGAAUAAGGAUCGGCUAACUCCGUGCCAGC